UACGUAGGGUGCAAGCGUUGUUCGGAAUUACUGGGCGUAAAGGGAGCGUAGGCGGGAUUGUAAGUUAGGAGUUUAAUCCGUGGGCUUAACCCACGAUCGGCUCUUAAUACUGCAGUUCUUGAAUAUGGGAGAGGAUGAUGGAAUUCCAGGUGUAGCGGUGGAAUGCGUAGAUAUCUGGAAGAACACCAGUAGCGAAGGCGGUCAUCUGGCCCAAUAUUGACGCUGAGGCUCGAAAGCUAGGGGAGCAAAC
Molecule: ribosomal RNA, 250 nt
Filed under: uncultured bacterium
Lineage: Bacteria
Description: partial 16S ribosomal RNA
Rfam family: Bacterial small subunit ribosomal RNA
Source: RNAcentral